AUCAUUUUUGAAACAUUUUAUAAAUAUAUAAAAUAUGUAAUACACAUAUACAAAUAUAUAUAAAUAUGAAUAUUAACAAUCGCUAUCACUAUCAUCUUUAGUUUCAUCCUCUAUGAGAAUAUCGGCAAGCUCAUUUGGUACAUAUGGUUUUUGUAUACAUUUUGUGAUUAAAAAACUGUAACAUUUCAUCGGUUAUAAUAUAGUCAAAAUAUGGUUUUGUGAAGGAAAAAGUUGUUACGUUAAAUUCAACGUUACCAUAUUAAAGGAAAAAGGAAAGCUGGUAAUAAAGAAAACAGUGUUGCUAUUAUUAAGAUUAAGUUAAAUUAAAGUAUUAUAUAAAACGUGAUAUAAAACAUAACUUAUAUCAUAUGAUGCAAGUGUUAUAGUACGGAGUGCAAUGGGGGUCAUUUGAUAUUAUAUUAUCUCUCGUAAGGGAUUUUUCUUCUAGCAAUGUUAAUUAGGAAUGACGUUGACACUUAUUUAGGUUAAAUUUAAAAGGAGAGAUUAAAGAUACCACAUGAGAUAUUACACGUCAACAUUCGAGAUUUAUUAUUGUAUACAUUGAUCAUUGAAAACAAAAGAAUAUGAAUAUUUAUUCUUUAUUGAUACCUGUAAUAUCAAUAAUG
This 626-nucleotide long non-coding RNA is filed under the name Polistes fuscatus (common paper wasp). RNAcentral describes it as "uncharacterized LOC122519943". Lineage: Eukaryota; Metazoa; Arthropoda; Insecta; Hymenoptera; Vespidae. The record is from RNAcentral.